AUUGAACGCUGGCGGAAUGCUUUACACAUGCAAGUCGAACGGCAGCACGGACUUCGGUCUGGUGGCGAGUGGCGAACGGGUGAGUAAUGUAUCGGGACGUGCCCAGUCGUGGGGGAUAACGUAGUGAAAAUUACGCUAAUACCGCAUACGAUCUAUGGAUGAAAGCGGGGGAUCGCAAGACCUCGCGCGAUUGGAGCGGCCGAUAUCAGAUUAGGUAGUUGGUGGGGUAAAGGCCCACCAAGCCGACGAUCUGUAGCUGGUCUGAGAGGACGACCAGCCACACUGGAACUGAGACACGGUCCAGACUCCUACGGGAGGCUGCAGUGGGGAAUUUUGGACAAUGGGCGAAAGCCUGAUCCAGCCAUUCCGCGUGCAGGAUGAAGGCCCUCGGGUUGUAAACUGCUUUUGUACAGAACGAAAAGGUUUCUACUAAUACUAGGAGCUCAUGACGGUACUGUAAGAAUAAGCACCGGCUAACUACGUGCCAGCAGCCGCCGCGG
RNAcentral lists this ribosomal RNA (500 nucleotides) under uncultured bacterium. RNAcentral describes it as "partial 16S ribosomal RNA". It matches the Rfam family "Bacterial small subunit ribosomal RNA", at positions 30 to 523 of the family's 1533-position model. The record is from RNAcentral.